RNAcentral lists this ribosomal RNA (377 nucleotides) under uncultured bacterium. RNAcentral's name for it is "bacterial SSU rRNA". It matches the Rfam family "Bacterial small subunit ribosomal RNA", at positions 143 to 507 of the family's 1533-position model. The record is from RNAcentral.
AUAACAUUUGGAAACAGAUGCUAAUACCGCAUAAACCUAACACCGCAUGGUGUAGGGUUGAAAGAUGGUUUCGGCUAUCACUUUAGGAUGGACCCGCGGUGCAUUAGUUAGUUGGUGAGGUAAAGGCUCACCAAGACCGUGAUGCAUAGCCGAUCUGAGAGGGUAAUCGGCCACACUGGGACUGAGACACGGCCCAGACUCCUACGGGAGGCAGCAGUAGGGAAUCUUCCACAAUGGACGAAAGUCUGAUGGAGCAACGCCGCGUGAGUGAAGAAGGUUUUCGGAUCGUAAAACUCUGUUGUUGGAGAAGAAUGUAUCUGAUAGUAACUGAUCAGGUAGUGACGGUAUCCAACCAGAAAGCCACGGCUAACUACGUG